This 468-nucleotide ribosomal RNA is filed under the name uncultured bacterium. RNAcentral's name for it is "partial 16S ribosomal RNA". It matches the Rfam family "Bacterial small subunit ribosomal RNA", at positions 28 to 507 of the family's 1533-position model. The record is from RNAcentral.
GACGAACGCUGGCGGCGUGCUUAACACAUGCAAGUCGAACGGAAAGGCCCUGCUUUUGUGGGGUGCUCGAGUGGCGAACGGGUGAGUAACACGUGAGUAACCUGCCCUUGACUUUGGGAUAACUUCAGGAAACUGGGGCUAAUACCGGAUAGGAGCUCCUGCUGCAUGGUGGGGGUUGGAAAGUUUCGGCGGUUGGGGAUGGACUCGCGGCUUAUCAGCUUGUUGGUGGGGUAGUGGCUUACCAAGGCUUUGACGGGUAGCCGGCCUGAGAGGGUGACCGGCCACAGUGGGACUGAGAUACGGCCCAGACUCCUACGGGAGGCAGCAGUGGGGAAUAGUGCACAAGGGGCGGAAGCCUGAUGCAGCAACGCCGCGGGCGGGAUGACGGCCUUCGGGUUGUAAACCGCUUUCGCCUGUGACGAAGCGUGAGUGACGGUAAUGGGUAAAGAAGCACCGGCUAACUACGUG